Molecule: ribosomal RNA, 145 nt
Organism: Cricetulus griseus (Chinese hamster)
Lineage: Eukaryota; Metazoa; Chordata; Mammalia; Rodentia; Cricetidae
Rfam family: 5.8S ribosomal RNA
About the family: 5.8S ribosomal RNA (5.8S rRNA) is a component of the large subunit of the eukaryotic ribosome. It is transcribed by RNA polymerase I as part of the 45S precursor that also contains 18S and 28S rRNA.
Source: Ensembl
AACUCUUAGAGAUGCAUCACUCGUGCAUCGAUGAAGAAUGCAGCUAGCUGUGAUAAUUAAUGUAAUUGCAGAACAUUGAUCAUCGACACUUUGAAUACACUUGCAGCCCCGGGAUCCUGCCAUAGCUACACAUGUCUGAGAAUCG